RNAcentral lists this ribosomal RNA (699 nucleotides) under Setophoma terrestris. Its description in RNAcentral is "SSU rRNA". It matches the Rfam family "Eukaryotic small subunit ribosomal RNA", at positions 67 to 776 of the family's 1831-position model. Lineage: Eukaryota; Fungi; Ascomycota; Dothideomycetes; Pleosporales; Phaeosphaeriaceae. The record is from RNAcentral.
AAGCAAUUAUACCGUGAAACUGCGAAUGGCUCAUUAAAUCAGUUAUCGUUUAUUUGAUAGUACCUUACUACUUGGAUAACCGUGGUAAUUCUAGAGCUAAUACAUGCUGAAAACCCCGACUUACGAAGGGGUGUAUUUAUUAGAUAAAAAACCAACGCCCUUCGGGGCUUCUUGGUGAUUCAUGAUAACUUUACGGAUCGCAUGGCCUUGCGCCGGCGACGGUUCAUUCAAAUUUCUGCCCUAUCAACUUUCGAUGGUAAGGUAUUGGCUUACCAUGGUUUCAACGGGUAACGGGGAAUUAGGGUUCGAUUCCGGAGAGGGAGCCUGAGAAACGGCUACCACAUCCAAGGAAGGCAGCAGGCGCGCAAAUUACCCAAUCCCGACACGGGGAGGUAGUGACAAUAAAUACUGAUACAGGGCUCUUUUGGGUCUUGUAAUUGGAAUGAGUACAAUUUAAACCUCUUAACGAGGAACAAUUGGAGGGCAAGUCUGGUGCCAGCAGCCGCGGUAAUUCCAGCUCCAAUAGCGUAUAUUAAAGUUGUUGCAGUUAAAAAGCUCGUAGUUGAAACUUGGGCCUGGCUGGCAGGUCCGCCUCACCGCGUGUACUUGUCCGGCCGGGUCUUCCUUCUGGAGAACCUCAUGCCCUUCACUGGGCGUGUUGGGGACCAGGACUUUUACUUUGAAAAAAUUAGAGUGUUC